AGCUUUGCACAAUGGCAGUAUCAUAGCCAAUGAGGUUUAUCCGAGGCACAAUUAUUGCUAUUUGAAAACUAUAUUGUCUUUUGUUGAACGUUGUUAUCACAUGUAACUUCUUUUACUUUAUGGCUUGCAUUUUUUUCCUUUCGAUAACUAGAAAAUGU
Molecule: small nuclear RNA, 158 nt
Organism: Balaenoptera musculus (blue whale)
Lineage: Eukaryota; Metazoa; Chordata; Mammalia; Artiodactyla; Balaenopteridae
Gene: U4
Rfam family: U4 spliceosomal RNA
About the family: U4 small nuclear RNA (U4 snRNA) is a component of the major U2-dependent spliceosome. The structure of U4 snRNA from yeast and human has been reported.
Source: Ensembl